GGCCUUUAAGGCUAUGUUGUUAUUUUUAACAUUUUUCUCUUUGUUAUUCAUUGGAUAUUGUCCUUUUUAAAAAAUUUUUUUUGAGAGGUAGAGCUACAGAGAGAGGGAAAGACAGAAAGUUCUUCCAUCUGCUGGUUCACUUCCCAAAUGGCUGCAAGAGCUGGAGCUGCAUCUAUCUGAAGCCCUAAUCCAGGAGCUUCUUCUGGGUCUCCCAUGCUGGAACACUGGCCCAAGCACUUGGGCCAUCUUCCACUGCUUUCCUAGGCCAUAAAAAGAGCUGGAUUGGAAGAGGAGAAACCAGGACAUGAACUGGCGCCCAUAUGGGUUGUUGGUGCCACAGGUAGAGGCUUAGCCAAGUAUGUAACAACACUGGCCCUGGAUAUUGUCUUUUUGAAAAAUUUAAAAACUUAUUUGAGUGGUAGAAAGACAGAAAGAUAGACAUAGGAAGAAUUCAUAUCUGCUGGUUCACUCCCCAGUGUUCACAACAGUUAGGACUGGGCCAAAGCCAAGAACUGAGAAUUCAUCCCUUAUCUCUCAUACAGGUGGCAGAAACCCAACUUCUUGAGCUAUCUCCACUGCCUCCCAGUAUCAGCAUUAACAGGAAGCUGGAGUCAAGAGCUAGAGGUUACUGGAAGACUAUAGCACUAUAGUGAUUCCAUCUUUUUCAGAAUUCUCUGGCAGCACUGAUUUUAAUAAAAACAGGUCUAUUUUGCCAUCAAAUAACGAUGACUGAGGCAAGUGAGGAGCACCAGGUACACAACUAAUUAAAUCUUGCAAAAUGGGGUAGGGGUGGCCAGAGAAGGAGCAAUUUAUAUGCAAUUCAAACUAUAUACAGCAUAAGUGGAAUGUAGUCUAUCCCAAACUGGCCUUGUGAAAUAAUUGGAACUUUAUGAUUUAAUGGUUAAAAUUUUAACAAGUGUAAUAAUAUAAUAAAUUUACAAGGGAAGAAAAAUCCAAGGGGUAUUUUAUGUUAAGUAUUUGCUGUUUCAAUUUAAAAAUAAUUUUGCUAAGUACACAUCUCUCAACUGAGGUCUACAUAUAAAAAGUCCUAAUAUAGAUAUAUACCUUUGGUGAGUUGAAGGCUUUUUUGUGACUCCUGUCUGAACUGUAGGCAGAACAUUAGAUGGACAUGCACAUAACCCACUGUAUUUUAAUUAAGGGCUUUCUGUUUGUGAAGAACCACAAUGUUUGACUAUCAUGGCAUAAUUUUUCAAGCAGGUGGCCUGCACAAGCCAGUUCAUUUUAUUUGCUAUAUCACAGCUCUCACUUGUAGUAGUCUAUUUUUUUUCCGAACACUAAGAUUUAGGAAGAGAAGGUGAUUUUUCUUUCUGCAACAGAUCAGCUUCUGCAUUUUUCUGUAAUUUUUAUAGCUUGUCCA
Non-coding RNA from Oryctolagus cuniculus (rabbit), 1378 nucleotides. The record is from RefSeq and is a predicted model, not a curated record. Lineage: Eukaryota; Metazoa; Chordata; Mammalia; Lagomorpha; Leporidae.